Long non-coding RNA from Danaus plexippus (monarch butterfly), 1359 nucleotides. RefSeq lists it as uncharacterized. NCBI's taxonomy places the organism in Eukaryota, Metazoa, Arthropoda, Insecta, Lepidoptera, Nymphalidae. The transcript is spliced from 3 exons. The record is from RefSeq and is a predicted model, not a curated record.
GGAAGGUCGAAUGCUCGUCUACGAGCUCGAGAUCUACCGAGCCGAGGUUACGAGCGGUUCCGAUGUUCUAGACUUACACAGUGUCAAGACUUCCAGAACCGCCGCGUCCGAUUCGACCUUCGAAAGAUAACUGCGACGUCGAACGCUCGCUGAUCGCUUGACCUCUCGAUUAAUGAUUAUGUUUAUCGCGACACCUAAUGUGCAAAUCACUCGGACAUCGCCAACAUCUCGAUAUAAAACGUGUAUACCUACAACUUGCAAGUGAUUGAUAUUAGAACUUGGCGUCGGAGAUCAUUGUCGGAUGGAACUACUUUGGACAAUGAAUCGCUUUGUAUACCAAUUAUAGAGAGAAACCAACGGCGAGGGCCCAGGGACUCGACGGGGCAGACGGACACACCAGCGCCGGCCAUCACACGCGUGGUUGGUCUGGCGGAUGGGGCACUCGGAGAGAAGCAAUGCGUGUCAAACUACAUUUAUUGACAACACUUAUAGGAACUACUACAAGCAAUCAAUAGAACUUCAAGCAUAACCCGUGGAUGAUACUCUCGGAUGCAGACUGAUGUCCGCGGGUGAACGCUUCGCACACCCGGGGACGCGGAGUGUUAAUUUGUUGACACUAGCGUCACUUCACCGUCUCCACCGCCUCGCCGCGUGCUAGCACACAUACUUAAUAUAAUGAUGUCCAGCAUGGAUCAGACUCCAGUUUGCUGUGACGCGGGAAAGCUGAUAAAAACGGAUGACCGAAGAUAUGAUGAAACGUACUGCGGACUGCAGGUAGAUAUAUAGAAGAUCCAAAGAUAUAUUGACACUGCUCCAGUCCCCUGAGGACCGAGGAAAGUGGUGCUACUGGAGUCUCAAGGACUAUGAAGGCAGAUCACGUUCAAACAAUUAAUCAAGAAUAAUGCAAUUAAUUUUUAUAUUUUUAUUUCAAAAUUAUGAAAUCGAUAGAAGUUGUUAAUCUUCUCUUAUGCGAUUUAUCUGUUCUUAAUUUAAAAGGUUUAUUAUGCAUUUUUUCUAUUAUAUUAUGUAACACCUUAACUUAUUUAUAAAUAUAUUAAGCGACCCAAAGUAAAUGCCGCUGAGUGUUUUGUUAUUAUUAUUAAACGGGACCCGGAUGUGAAAUGGCUAAUCAUGUUAACCGAUAAAUAUAUAAAUAAAACUAUUGACAAACACCAAGUGUUUACUUCAGCGAAGGUUACAAUACAAGAGGAGCUCGCACAGGGCGGCGGUCGGCGCGAGGCGGACGCGAGCCUAUCUACUGCGCGGUAAUGUGAAUGUUCGUGACCGCUCUCAGAGCGAGCAGCUUCGAGAACUUCAAUACUAUUGCUGUUUUUAUCUUCAUGAUAGAAUUGCUAAUAA